This 361-nucleotide ribosomal RNA is filed under the name uncultured bacterium. RNAcentral describes it as "partial 16S ribosomal RNA". It matches the Rfam family "Bacterial small subunit ribosomal RNA", at positions 338 to 696 of the family's 1533-position model. The record is from RNAcentral.
CCUACGGGUGGCUGCAGUGAGGAAUAUUGGUCAAUGGACGGAAGUCUGAACCAGCCAUGCCGCGUGCAGGAUGACGGCCCUAUGAGUUUUAAACUGCUUUUGUACGGGAAUAAUAGUUCUUACGUGUAGGGUUUUGAAUGUAUCGUACGAAUAAGGAUCGGCUAACUCCGUGCCAGCAGCCGCGGUAAUACGGAGGAUUCGAGCGUUAUACGGAUUUAUUGGGUUUAAAGGGUGCGUAGGCUGUCGGAUAAGUUAGAGGGUAAAUGUCGGGGCUUAACCCCGGGCCUGCCUCUGAUACUGGUCGACGAGAGAGCGGAUGCAGCAGGCGGAAUGAGUAGUGUAGCGGUGAAAUGCUGAGAUA